CAUGUCUAAGUAUAAGCAAUCUAUACGGUGAAACUGCGAAUGGCUCAUUAAAUCAGUUAUCGUUUAUUUGAUAGUACCUUACUACUUGGAUAACCGUGGUAAUUCUAGAGCUAAUACAUGCUAAAAACCCCGACUUCGGAAGGGGUGUAUUUAUUAGAUAAAAAACCAAUGCCCUUCGGGGCUCCUUGGUGAUUCAUAAUAACUUAACGAAUCGCAUGGCCUUGUGCCGGCGAUGGUUCAUUCAAAUUUCUGCCCUAUCAACUUUCGAUGGUAGGAUAGUGGCCUACCAUGGUUUCAACGGGUAACGGGGAAUUAGGGUUCUAUUCCGGAGAGGGAGCCUGAGAAACGGCUACCACAUCCAAGGAAGGCAGCAGGCGCGCAAAUUACCCAAUCCCGACACGGGGAGGUAGUGACAAUAAAUACUGAUACAGGGCUCUUUUGGGUCUUGUAAUUGGAAUGAGUACAAUUUAAAUCCCUUAACGAGGAACAAUUGGAGGGCAAGUCUGGUGCCAGCAGCCGCGGUAAUUCCAGCUCCAAUAGCGUAUAUUAAAGUUGUUGCAGUUAAAAAGCUCGUAGUUGAACCUUGGGCCUGGCUGGCCGGUCCGCCUCACCGCGUGCACUGGUCCGGCCGGGUCUUUCCUUCUAGGGAACCUCAUGCCUUUCAUUAGGUGUGCUGGGGAACUAGGACUUUUACUUUGAAAAAAUUAGAGUGUUCAAAGCAGGCCUAUGCUCGAAUACAUUAGCAUGGAAUAAUAGAAUAGGACGUGUGGUUCUAUUUUGUUGGUUUCUAGGACCGCCGUAAUGAUUAAUAGGGAUAGUCGGGGGCAUCAGUAUUCAAUUGUCAGAGGUGAAAUUCUUGGAUUUAUUGAAGACUAACUAC
This 880-nucleotide ribosomal RNA is filed under the name Helotiales sp. RNAcentral's name for it is "SSU rRNA". It matches the Rfam family "Eukaryotic small subunit ribosomal RNA", at positions 54 to 943 of the family's 1831-position model. Lineage: Eukaryota; Fungi; Ascomycota; Leotiomycetes; Helotiales. The record is from RNAcentral.